AUUUUGGGCAGCCUGCCCUUCACUUUGGAUUGUGUAAGAAAUUCCACAUCUUUGUGAAAUGUCUGUUUUCUGCUAAACUCAAUGGUCACAGAACAGACACUGCACUCUCAGUGCUGCUUGAAAAUUAGGGGUUACUUACAAUGUAAUUUUGUUAGGUUUAUAGUUUAUAAAUGAAGUUGCUGCUCCAGAAAAGUAUAUUUUUAAAUUGUUUGGAUAAGUGAUGGCUGCAUACCUUUUUGUUGAAAACUUUUUAAAGAUUUCAGGGCUCAGACUGAGUGCUUAUCAAAAAAUAUUUCAGGCCUAUUUGAUGUGGUUUUCAUCUAUAACUCAAGAUGACUGGAUGGUCUCCUAGUUUUGGAUGGGGGUUUUUGUUUUUAUUUCUAAAGAAAUCAAUUGUAGUUCUGUCAGAGUGGCACAACAAAGAAGUAGCUGUGCUUCCACCUCAGACACAGGCCUCCUGGAAUGGAUUAAACAGAGUUAGGAGCUGUGAUGUCCUUCUUUGUAGUCCUGCAAUUUUUCAACCAAAGCAAUAUCUCAGUGAGAUUUCUGCUUCUUUUUGGGAAAGGACAUCUAACACUUUUAAAGUAGUAUGAAUCCAAUUAGUAAAUGGAAAGUCACAGAAAAAACUAGGGCUCUAAUUUGUGAAGGUCUGCUGACUUCCUUGCUUUAUUUAUGCAAAGGAUCUUUUUAGGAGCCCGAUGACACUUAGCUCUGGAGAGGAAGAAAAUUAAAUUUAGCUUUAAUGUGUAAUGGUAGCUUUUGCUGUUUUCAGUGUGGAACUUCAUGAAAUUAAGUAUGUUCUGCCAUGUCCCUUUAACACUGAUUCCACUGCUAUCAAGUAUUUUAUAGUGGGGCCCAGCAUGCUGUCCUUACCUGUUCUGCAAAGUAAACUCUCCCAGGAGGAGAGUUACAUCCCAAAGUCUCUUUGAACAGACCUCAAGCAUUCCAGAUGUGGCAGGGGUCACUGUCCCUGCUUCAGGCACUUCAGUGAAGAACUGAGGGUGAGCAGCACUAUUGUUUGUGACCCAAUCUGUAAUAAUUGAGAACAACAUGAUUCAGGUUGUCAAAGAACUGCAACACUUUCCUCUGUUUCUUGGGGGAAUGGAGAGUUCAGGUCGGCAAAAGGAGGGGGCAAAUGAUGAGAAAUUACUUUGCAGAUGUCCUUUACUGAUCUUUCUUUUCAGAAAAAAAAGUAAAAUUGAUACUUAGGAAGUAUAACAUUGUUUGUCAAUACUGGGAUGCUCCAUCCCUGGAAGCGUUCAGGCCAGGCUGGAUGGGGACAUGAGCAGCCUUAUCUCAUGUGUGGCAUCCCUGCCCAUGGCAGGGAGAUUGGAGCCAGAUGAUCUUGAAGGUCCCUUCCAACCCAAACCACUCUAUAUUACAAUGAACCUUGAGAUUUCUUUUGCCAGACAGGGAAUUUUCUGUCUUGCAAGGUAAAUAAUGGGAGCACCACAUUCAGUGGAGCAUCCCUUUCCUGCCUUAAUAUAAGGAAGGCUUUAAGAUGCAAGAUUCUUUGUUUUCUGCAGGUUAAGAUGCAACCAGCACACCACAUCCAGCUGUCCAGGAGUAGCUGUGACUGUUUUUCUCUGUGUAUUUCUCUGCUAUUCUGUUAAUUGAGCUGACAUACUCCUCUGUAAGCUCUUGCCAUGGCUUCUGACUCCUGAAUUAGUGUUACUGGUGGGUAACAGCUGUCUGUCUGACAGUCUGUCUGUCCCUAGGUGUAGCUACACAGGUGCAUCUGGAUAGGGCAUGAUUACAUGGAAGAUGGACUGAGAGAAACCUGAAAUAAAGGCUCCGUUUUCCACAGCCAGUGAUGCAUCUCCCAUUGAAUUUUAUGCAUGCAGAAGGAUCAGACUCGAAAUAGGGUAGCGUAAUAUUCCUUUUUCCAUAAAGAAUACGUUUCUAUGUGAGCAAUUCAGGCGAUUCGUGGAACAAGAAGCAGAGGACUGAUCACCAAGGGGCUUUUGUGAGCUGCCAGCUGCAUGUGGAAUGUGUUCAUUAGACUUUAAGAAUAAACAGGAGAGGUUUUUGCAUGGAGUAUUUCAUUAAUCACAGCUGCUCUACUUGUAAGCACAAAUUCCCCUUCCACUUGGGGCUUUGUAAGACUGCUGGAAUCACUUUGGUCUUUCCACCUAACAGCCACUGGCUAUGCAACCAUGCAGGGUGGUUUUUGGAAGGGAAGGGUGGUGAUUCAGGCUGGAGAUUGCAUUCAGACAGUUCAGCUGCUGCUGUGGGCAGAGGCUCAUAGAUGGCUUGGCAGCCAAGGGAUUUAUUCUCAUAUUUGCUGUACUCACUGUUUGACUGUUCAGAUCCACAGCUUGUGGACCCAUCAGGAGAGUGUCCCCAACGUGGAACAGAGCUGUGUUUGAGCCUGAGGAGCAGUGGGAGCAGUGAAGGAACUCGAAUCAAGCCCUGUUCCAAAAACGAGGGGCAGCCCCACAGAACUCAGUGUUUUUUAAGAACCACUUUGGGAACUGACUGAUUUUGAACACCCUCUGCUUCUGAACCACAUUCAGUACCUUGGCAUGCACCACAUUCUGCAGUGAAGAGAGUGCAGCCCUGCACAGCCCUCCCCUGCAAAAAGUGAAAAUAGGAUGGAGGGGUCCUGUGCUUUGCUGUCUGCAGAAGCAUUUCAAAGCAGAUGAAAAGGAGCCUCAGUAAAAAUCUGUGCCACCUAUGACACUUUCAAUAAUACAUCAGUAGGGAGGUACACACGAGACCAUUGGCAGUGGAUUUUAAAACAGAAUUGCUGUCAAAGACAAAGCAGAGUGAAAUUUUGAUAGCUAGAAUAGUGUUGCAUUUGUUUUAGAAGAAUUUUCUUUUCUAAAAGGAAAAGCAAACAUAUAGGUAUAGGUAUUUUUUUUUAAAUACAGUAUUCAAACCUGUUUUUCAACUAAAUUCACUUCUCCCCCUUACUUUUUUAUGCAUGUUCAUGCAAAAGGUGUUCACUUACACAAAGUUUAUGUAAGACUUGCUCUACUUGCUAAUACAUGGUUUAUCUUUGAAGUAGCUUGUUCACAGAUGAAAAUAUUUUUGUGUUCUAUCCUCUUACUUUAAAUAUUGAAAUAGGGAAGAGGUGAACACUACAGAGAAAGGCUGUGAUUUGUUCUUCUGACAUGAGUCACUUCAUAGAAACCACAAAGGGUUUAUCAAUGAUACAUGAACAGCAAAUAGGGCUGAGUUGGAAAAGUCUGAUAUUUGCCAUUAAUAAUUCAACCAAAUGCAUUUCCACUAACUCAUAAGUGAUUUUUUUUUUUUCUCUCUAGUCAGCAGCACAAUAUUGAAACUCUGAGCUGCUGGAAUAGGUUUGUUUACAGUCUCAAUUGUGUGGGCCACUCCUCUGGAGAGGCCAGGGCAGGAAGAGGCCUUCUGGUAAAACUUUUUUGUCAGGAAGGUCCUAAUACAGUUUUUCUCACUGUAAUCUGGCAGCAUCAGUGAUAUUUUGCACCUCAGCAUUAGUGAAGCAAAUUUUCAAAAAAGCCAUUUAUUCUUCUCUGUGCCUUGUAGAUGGCCCAUAGAUGACUAGAUAAUGAAUGCCAAGCGUUGCUGGCACCUGCCAAUGAAUGUUGUAUUUCUGUCACACUUCCUUGAGCAAGAACAUGAGGGGAAAUCUUGUUGUUUGAUUGUUGAUAGCAAUUUCUGUAGCAGCUGAGUAAGAAAUCUGUAUUGCUGUCUUCUCUGCCCCCUUUGUAAAAGGAAGCAGAUGAGAUAUUCUUUCAUCUUUCUUUAUGGAACUGCCUCUAAAAAUAUAUUCUCUCAAGGAGAGCAGGAAAAAGUAUAUCUUGCAUUUUAUCUUUUUAUUAAUGUUACACUUAUCUUUGCCAGACACCCUUAAAGGAAAGAGAGAGCAAAAAGGUGAUUAAAACAGUUUUCCUGCCUCCCAGGAUGGUCCAUGUGAUACUCAGUAUAACCUUUAUAAUACAGCUUUUGGAAUUGCAUGAAUCCUUAGCGUGCUGUAGGAUCAGUGCCACUUUCAGUGCUCAGAGUGGUUGAUAUGAGCAGUAGGAUGGAGUCAGAUAUUCAACAAAAAAAAACUGACAAUAGCACAGGUUUCAGUAGUUUCCCUGCUGCUAUGCUAUUUUUUAAAAACUAGGUUAUGUUGUCUGCAUUUCUCUGCUGCCAAGACACAAAAA
Molecule: non-coding RNA, 4133 nt
Organism: Taeniopygia guttata (zebra finch)
Lineage: Eukaryota; Metazoa; Chordata; Aves; Passeriformes; Estrildidae
Source: RefSeq, a predicted model, not a curated record